RNAcentral lists this ribosomal RNA (301 nucleotides) under uncultured bacterium. Its description in RNAcentral is "partial 16S ribosomal RNA". It matches the Rfam family "Bacterial small subunit ribosomal RNA", at positions 509 to 807 of the family's 1533-position model. The record is from RNAcentral.
CAGCAGCCGCGGUAAUACGUAGGUGGCAAGCGUUGUCCGGAAUUAUUGGGCGUAAAGGGCUCGCAGGCGGUUUCUUAAGUCUGAUGUGAAAGCCCCCGGCUCAACCGGGGAGGGUCAUUGGAAACUGGGAAACUUGAGUGCAGAAGAGGAGAGUGGAAUUCCACGUGUAGCGGUGAAAUGCGUGGAGAUGUGGAGGAACACCAGUGGCGAAGGCGACUCUCUGGUCUGUAACUGGCGCUGAGGAGCGAAAGCGUGGGGAGCGAACAGGAUUAGAUACCCCCGUAGUCCCUGUCUCUUAUAC